RNAcentral lists this unclassified non-coding RNA (809 nucleotides) under Hevea brasiliensis (rubber tree). The record is from RNAcentral. Lineage: Eukaryota; Viridiplantae; Streptophyta; Magnoliopsida; Malpighiales; Euphorbiaceae.
AUGUUGGCCAAAGGGAGUCUUACAUGGUAAGUUCCACUAUUAAAAAUUAUUUUAAGGGUCAGAUUCCAUUCAGUUCUUACAUUAGGAGCAAUCACUUACGUGUUGUUAAACCAGAAAUUGUGAAGCCCAUGUGCGCUUAUUUAUCAGCUGCUCCGAUAAAGAAAUACAAGGCAUAAAAGUAUAUUGAUGAACACCAUGCUCUAUCGAGCAUCCAGCAAUGACAGAGAAAUUUCAUUGGUCGAAGAAGAUUCAAUAUUGGUAGAGGAUGACUCUGCUUCAAGUGGACCUUUGUCCUUAAAAAAGCCUGGUUCUUUGGGCUGCGCCAUUGCAAUCUCACUACCCAACAUUAGAACCACAGAUGCCAUGCUUGGCCUGUCCUCUGCAUGGUGUUGCACACAUAAGAGGCUAAUAUGGAUGCAUCGCUUCACUUCUGAUAGAUGACAUGCCUCUCUUAAAACUGGAUCAACCAAUUCCAAUAACUUGCCUUCUUUCCACAAUUUCCAAGCAUAUCCGACAAGGUUUAGACUAUGAUUUGGGUGAUAAAAUCCGCGACUUUUCUUUCCACUUAUUAUCUCAAGCAUUAGGAUUCCAAAGCUAAAUACAUCAGAUUUCACUGAGAAUAAUCCAUCAGUUGCAUAUUCUGGUGCCAUAUAACCACUGCAGCAUAAAUAGAAACUCCAUCAAUAACAAAUCACUUAGUUUAUAAAUCAUGAAAUGAAGUUACUUACUAUGUUCCAACCACUUUGUUUGUGCUUCCUUCAGUUUGAUCGCCUCCAAAAGUUCUAGCCAUGCCAAAAUCUGAAAUUUUU